GACGAACGCUGGCGGCGUGCUUAACACAUGCAAGUCGAACGGUGAGGCCCUUCGGGGUGGAUCAGUGGCGAACGGGUGAGUAACACGUGAGCAACCUGCCCCUGGCUCUGGGACAACCACUGGAAACGGUGGCUAAUACCGGAUACGACCCGCCUCGGCAUCGAGUGUGGGUGGAAAGUUUUUCGGCUGGGGAUGGGCUCGCGGCCUAUCAGCUUGUUGGUGAGGUGAAGGCUCACCAAGGCGACGACGGGUAGCCGGCCUGAGAGGGCGACCGGCCACACUGGGACUGAGACACGGCCCAGACUCCUACGGGAGGCAGCAGUGGGGAAUAUUGCACAAUGGGCGAAAGCCUGAUGCAGCGACGCCGCGUGAGGGAUGACGGCCUUCGGGUUGUAAACCUCUUUCAGCUCCGAAGAAGCGAAAGUGACGGUAGGAGCAGAAGAAGCACCGGCUAACUACGUG
This 462-nucleotide ribosomal RNA is filed under the name uncultured bacterium. RNAcentral's name for it is "partial 16S ribosomal RNA". It matches the Rfam family "Bacterial small subunit ribosomal RNA", at positions 28 to 507 of the family's 1533-position model. The record is from RNAcentral.